This 1154-nucleotide long non-coding RNA is filed under the name Pogona vitticeps (central bearded dragon). RNAcentral describes it as "lncRNA (ENSPVIG00000014910.1)". The record is from RNAcentral. Lineage: Eukaryota; Metazoa; Chordata; Lepidosauria; Squamata; Agamidae.
UGUGAGACGCCGCCUGGACGCGACAAAAGCCCGACUCUCCUCCUCUGGGCCCGGCCUCUUUUCAAAGGAAAGCGCUUAAUUGUGCGGGUUCCUUGUUUGGGGAGGGAGCGGGAGGGAACUCCACACAGAGUGGCGGCUGGCCUCAGCACCGCUACAUCAAAGCCUGAUCGACAAUUCAGCUCAGUGGAACGGAACUCGGGCACAUUUUCAAGCAAGGGAGGCAAGGCAAGGCAAACCACGAUCACCACCCAUCCUUGGCUGCAGCUACAUUCCAGUGUAAUCGUUGCCGUUUACUUGCAAAUAAAUGGGUUUAGGCAACGCACCUAGAGUAGAAGUUAAUACGCUAAAGGUGAGGUUCGGAAUCAAUGGCGCUACAUCGUCUUAAAAUCUCGUACUUCGGUUCCUCGAGUAUGAUUAAUAGUUGAUAAUGGUUGGUGGUCCCUGUGGGAAGGAGAUGCCUUGAAGAGGAUCAGAACAUCUUGGGUGAGAUGACGGCUUUCCUCCUUGGAAGGUAAAGGCAGUUCAAAGAGCAAAUCAGAUGCUGGAAAGAGCAGCAGAGAAGGGAAAAGGCAGAAGGGGUGGGGGUGGGGAGGGAAUCGCCCAGUGAAAUAUUCCCUGAGCGGUAGCCUUCGCUAAACAACAGCCCCAGCCAAGGCCACCAAGGUCAAAUCCAGCCGGUUAAGAAGAGGGAGGCCGCCCCAGUCAGGGAUUCUAGCUGAAGGCCUUGCUUCUUAGCGUCGAGUGUUUAGGCGGAGAGCAAAACAGAGCAACCUCGGCUGCCUGGCAAAAGGCGGUUUUGGGUUGUUGUUUUGUUGUGUGUGUGUGUUUUUUUUCCUCCGAGAAAAUCCAACAGCUUCUGCUUCUCUAGCUGCAAAUCUUCCUGCACUCUGCUGGCCUGUGCAAUUUGGGGCGCAUGCUGGAAGCCACGUCAUGCAGAUUAGCAGUGCCAGUUAACCAUCUUGUUUUUCUGGGGCAGAACUGCUGAGCGAAUCGCCCAUGCUAUCCCUCUUCCAGGCAUGGGUAUAUGAUGUUUUAAAUCCUAUUAAGUUAAAGAUAACAGGAACAUGCUCUUUGCAUUCUGACCUAUUCUAGAAUCUGGUGGAGGGGUGGGCACAACAACCUGUUUCCUAAUAAAACCAGCUUAGAUCCCCUCA